UGUUGCUUUUGGCCCAUGGUUGCGUGGUUUUCUGCUCUGUCCGGCUGCACUAAUACACACACUUCAGCACACGAGUCCUCACCAUCUUUCCAUGCGUGUAGGUGUCCAUGUUUAUUGAAAAGGGGGGUUUCAACUGUCGGCUUUUGCAGCAAUAUUUUCCUUUCUCUCUCCAAGCGUGACCAGACUGCUGGGGAAAGGUGCACCAGGGAUAGCACCGGAGUCUCAAGUCUUCUCCUGAGCCACAAAACAGACACCAUUCCCAGAGGGGGCUGCAGCUGUGCUGGAAAACACCCUUGCUCUGCAAAAGGAGGUGUUUCCAGACCUGGAGGGCAAGGCAUAUUAUUUAUAAUUUGUAUCAUUGUAGCACCUAGAGGCAUGAUCCAAACACACAGAGAGAGGCAGUUCCUGCCCCGAAGAACUUAGUCUAAAUAUACAGAGGUUGGGAUGGGCAAGAGAGCGACAAUGAAUAGAUGGGAAUAGACCUUAGGUUUCCUGACACAGUUCAGUGCCCUACCCAUUAGACCACGCUGUCUCCUCUGGGCUGAAUUUGGAUCUCCAUUGCAUUCCCUUCAGUGGAGCAACUUCGGAGUUAUCUCAGUAUACCGGCCCUAUUGGCUUUUAACUGAGCUUAAGGAAACAUUCUUUAAAUCCUGUGUUUUUAUGUUUUUCCAGAUGCAAUCAGCCUAAAUUGUUUUGGGUUAAAGAAAACAACAAGAAAGGACAAAAGUAAAGUCUGUGUGAGGGAGAGUGCAGUGUGUGUUUUCUCUAUGAACAAAAUGGCUGUGAAACUCUACCUGAAGGGAGAAUCCUUAAAAGUUAAACGGCGCAGUACCCAGAAAUCAGAAGGCAGUGCAGCAUCGUAAAUCCACAGAGCACAUCAUGAAAUGCAAAGCUUUUUAAAAAUAUGGGACAUUUUCUUUCCCUGCUGCUCUGAAAGCAUCGACAUGAUGAAACAGAACUAUUUUUUUUUAAGUAGCACUUUGUCUAAUUCCAUUUCCUUGCC
RNAcentral lists this long non-coding RNA (1003 nucleotides) under Chrysemys picta bellii (western painted turtle). RNAcentral describes it as "lncRNA (ENSCPBG00000012252.1)". Lineage: Eukaryota; Metazoa; Chordata; Testudines; Emydidae. The record is from RNAcentral.